UCCUACGGGAGGCAGCAGUAGGGAAUCUUCCGCAAUGGACGAAAGUCUGACGGAGCAACGCCGCGUGAGUGAUGAAGGUUUUCGGAUCGUAAAACUCUGUUGUUAGGGAAGAACAAGUUGGGUAGUAACUGACCCAACCUUGACGGUACCUAACCAGAAAGCCACGGCUAACUACGUGCCAGCAGCCGCGGUAAUACGUAGGUGGCAAGCGUUGUCCGGAAUUAUUGGGCGUAAAGCGCUCGCAGGCGGUCCUUUAAGUCUGAUGUGAAAUCUCGCGGCUCAACCGCGAACGGUCAUUGGAAACUGGAGGACUUGAGUACAGAAGAGGAGAGUGGAAUUCCACGUGUAGCGGUGAAAUGCGUAGAGAUGUGGAGGAACACCAGUGGCGAAGGCGACUCUCUGGUCUGUAACUGACGCUGAGGAGCGAAAGCGUGGGGAGCGAACAGGAUUAGAUACCCUGGUAGUCCACGCCGUAAACGAUGAGUGCUAGGUGUUAGGGGGUUUCCGCCCCUUAGUGCUGAAGUUAACGCAUUAAGCACUCCGCCUGGG
This 549-nucleotide ribosomal RNA is filed under the name Oceanobacillus sp. RNAcentral's name for it is "bacterial SSU rRNA". It matches the Rfam family "Bacterial small subunit ribosomal RNA", at positions 337 to 877 of the family's 1533-position model. Lineage: Bacteria; Bacillati; Bacillota; Bacilli; Caryophanales; Bacillaceae. The record is from RNAcentral.